Molecule: long non-coding RNA, 429 nt
Filed under: Echeneis naucrates (live sharksucker)
Lineage: Eukaryota; Metazoa; Chordata; Actinopteri; Carangiformes; Echeneidae
Description: lncRNA (ENSENLG00000003612.1)
Source: RNAcentral
GUAAUUCUGAAUGCGACUGAGUGGUUGUUUAUUUCUGUUUGUUGGCCCUGUGAUGGACCAAGUGGUGACCUGACCAGGGUGUAACCGGCCCCUCGUCCGGAACAUUGGCUGGGAUUGACUCCAGCACCCCCUGCGACCCAGAAAUGGUAAAGCAGUCAAAGAUCAAUGGAUGGAUCCUCUGCAGAACCGUAAAAACCAGCAGAAAUGGCUCCAAAAACCACCAAGGCGGCCAUAAAGGACUCACUGGCCAACCUGAGCCAGGACAAAUUUGCAGAGUUCGUUGAGCAGCUUCUGGACCGCAGAGAGCCUCCGAAGGUCCGACGCUCUGAAGUGGAGGGGAAAAGCCGCUUAGCUGUCACAAACCUCCUGGUGUCGACUUUUACUGAGCAGGAAGCAGGAGUGUGUCAAAGGUCUUCAUGUUUUUAUUGA